This 368-nucleotide ribosomal RNA is filed under the name uncultured Anoxybacillus sp. Its description in RNAcentral is "bacterial SSU rRNA". It matches the Rfam family "Bacterial small subunit ribosomal RNA", at positions 1014 to 1382 of the family's 1533-position model. Lineage: Bacteria; Bacillati; Bacillota; Bacilli; Caryophanales; Anoxybacillaceae. The record is from RNAcentral.
GUUCGGGGGACGAGGGUGACAGGUGGUGCAUGGUUGUCGUCAGCUCGUGUCGUGAGAUGUUGGGUUAAGUCCCGCAACGAGCGCAACCCUUCGACCUUAGUUGCCAGCAUUCAGUUGGGCACUCUAAGGUGACUGCCGGCUAAAAGUCGGAGGAAGGUGGGGAUGACGUCAAAUCAUCAUGCCCCUUAUGACCUGGGCUACACACGUGCUACAAUGGGCGGUACAAAGGGUCGCGAACCCGCGAGGGGGGAGCCAAUCCCAAAAAGCCGCUCUCAGUUCGGAUUGCAGGCUGCAACUCGCCUGCAUGAAGCCGGAAUCGCUAGUAAUCGCGGAUCAGCAUGCCGCGGUCGAAUACGUUCCCGGGCCUU